This 1016-nucleotide long non-coding RNA is filed under the name Calidris pugnax (ruff). RNAcentral describes it as "lncRNA (ENSCPUG00000014617.1)". Lineage: Eukaryota; Metazoa; Chordata; Aves; Charadriiformes; Scolopacidae. The record is from RNAcentral.
GAGGUCCCUGUUAGGGCCCCCCAAGCCCUUGGUGCUGGUGGCCAUGGGGAGCUCUUUACCUGAGCAGGGGAUGGGUGAUGUGGUGAAGACCUGGUGGGUGAACACAGAGAUCUGGUGGGUGGACAUGGAGAUGUAUGGCAGAUGUGUCGAUCUGGUGGGUGGAUGUCUAGAUCUGAUGGGGCAACACGAAGAUCUGGUGGGUCAAUACACAGAUCUAUGGCAGAUGUGUUGAUUUGGUGGGUGGAUGUCUAGAUCUGAUGGGUCAACGUGUAGAUCUGAUGGGUCAACACAUGGAUCUAUGGCAGAGGUGUCAAUCUGGUGGGUGGAUGUAUAGAUCUGAUGGGUGAACAUGAAGAUCUGGUGGGUCAAUACACAGAUCUAUGGCAGAUGUGUAGAUCUGGUGGGUGGAUGUACAGAUCUGAUGGGUGAACACAUAGAUCUGUUGGGUGGACAUGGAGAUCUGAUGGUUGGGCAUGUAGAUCUGUUGGUAGACACAUAGAUCUGUUGGGUAGACAUGUAGAUCUGUUGGCAGACAUGCAGAUCCAGUGGUUGGAGAUCUGAUGGGAGACACACAGAUCUGAUGGGUGGACAUGUAGAUCUGAUGGGUGGACCUACAGCUCUGACAGAACAGGUAGAUCUGGUGGGAGGACAGUGCACCCAUGGGCCAACAUGGCCACCUUCUUCUUCAUCACUGGGGCAGAAGCACUUCUGUGGGGACCAGCGAGAGUUCACCCCCCCCAAGACCUCGUGGGCUGCCUGUGGGGGCUCUCUGGAGACCCACGGGCAUCAACCACUGCAUUUUUGGGGUCCCGGGGGCUUCUUCCAGACACCUCCCUGGGUGGUGGGACCUGCAGCCGGGCUCCUUGGUGACGUGGGCUGUGUGUCAUCACUGCGGUGGCACCUUGGUGACCCUAAAAGGAAGAAGGGGAUUUUUUGUUUUCGGUUCCUCUGCCCGAAGCUCUCACCUUCCUCCAGGAAGAGCUGUGCCAGCAGCUGCUCCCCGGGGCUCUCCAGCC